Long non-coding RNA from Corythoichthys intestinalis (scribbled pipefish), 2693 nucleotides. RefSeq lists it as uncharacterized. The transcript is spliced from 3 exons. NCBI's taxonomy places the organism in Eukaryota, Metazoa, Chordata, Actinopteri, Syngnathiformes, Syngnathidae. The record is from RefSeq and is a predicted model, not a curated record.
UCUAAAAUGUCGAAUACAAGUUCGAUUAUAUGCACACCUCUUGUUUACUUUUCUGGUUUUCGUGAGUCUUUACCGAAACAAUGACUAGGUAGCACACUAGUGAAGCAAAGUUGCACUACAUUACGGGUCUCCAACCGACAACGCUGAUAUUGGAGCACCCCCUCCCCCUUCCACUCCAAGCACACCGCUUAAGGAAAACAUUAUUUGCAUGCCCUGUGUUGAACCAAUCUUAUGAGGGGGGAAAGCAAACAUUCUUGUACUUACUCGGUCGAUAGACGGUGGAUCCGACCCUUCGUUGCAGUAGUGGGGUCGUCGCCUGGCCUGUCCCGCCUCUCGCCGGCCGUCUGAGUGCCGGGGAAAGGAAGGGAAGAAGGGGGUUGGUCCGUGUGGUACGUGCGUCUACGUGUGUCUGUUUGCUGGAGCUAUGCCGGGCUGACAGCUGGCCGCGAAGCCCUCGUAGCGACAUAAGAGAAAACAUGCACAUAUGAACCAGCCCUAACUAUCUCUGCUGAUCACAUCACAGUGUACCGGAACAGUAUUCCAGCCCUGAAUCUUAUACCGGAACUGCGUUCCGGCCCUGAAUCUGAUACCGGAACUGCGUUCCUGACCGUUCUGGCCCACUUUCACCCCUGGCUCUCCAUCCAAUUUGUAUAUCGUUUCUCCUCAUCAGGAUUGCAGGUAAAGUGGAGCCUAUCCAAAACACGUCAGGUUGGUCGACAGCCAAUUGCAGGGCACUUUUAGUCAAAUGAAUUAUUCAAUGUCAGCAAUUGUGAUGAGCAUUAUUUGUGUCCUUCAAUCAAAUAAAAAUAUUUCUUAAUAGAUGUAACUACCAUUAUUUUGAGUAAACCGUUUAACAAAUCUAUUCCCACAACCAUGCUGUAUGUAAUUUGACCGAAACUGUAGAUAGAAUUAAAGACUUAAAUGUGCAUAGAAUAUUUUGCUUGCCCUUUCAUUCACCCCGCAUUGUAUGAUGAGAUGGAGAUCAAAUACAACUGGCUUUAGUGUGUCUCUGUGUGUGUGCUGGAAAGAGAGCGAGAGAAGGAGAGAGAGCAGAUUAGUGUCGACUGUCUGCACCCUCCCCGCCAGACAUGCAGUCAGCAGGGAUUUUCUGGUCUGAGCACUGCACUCACAAAGAAGGAGAGGAAACCAAUCCUAGUCACAAUCUCAUCCCAGACACAAUUCAAAUGUUUCUGUGGCAGCAUCAUAACACCCGCUAACACUUGACUCGUCGGAUAGUGAUGUUAAGUUUCAAUAUUAUAGGGUAAUAAUAAAAUAUGUAUUAUGAUAAAAAUGCAUCAGGUCACAUUGCUAGUUAUUGAAGGGGAACGUGCAGCAAAACACUCCAAGAAGUUAAUUGGGUCAUUAUAUUUGGAAUUUCCAUAUUCAUAAAUGCAGGACAUGAAAUAGAUGUUUAUCAUAGAAACCAUAAAGACUAAUGAACUAAUCGUAAUCCUCUGGGAUUUGCUGGCAAUAGACUUGUUCCCUGCCAGCCAUUAAUGGGUGUUUUUCAUGUAAAUUUCCCUCAUUUUUUACAAACUACCACAACACAUACGCUAUGAAGACUAUACUGUACAUAUACCGAGGCUGGCAUUGGUAUUAGCUAUUUUUUAUUAUUAUUUAAUCAUCUUGAUCAAUUCAGAUUUAGCUGAGGACAUCUCAAGACAAGAAUUGAAGAUCACCUAAUACCCAAAGAAACUAACCUUGUCCCCUCAACGUCUCGUCAAUUCUUAGAUAUUCUAUCUCGAUGUUGCAUAUGGAUCAUAUUCCAUAUCAAUUCUUACAUUGAUCAUAGACUUGAUAAUGAUAUUGACGGGUCAGAUUCGACCUUUACUGGGCCACACCUUCACCUUCCCACAAUCCGCUUCAGUUAUUCGCAGUUGGUGGCAGCAAUACAUGCAGCGAUCCAACGCCGGAUGUAUGUUGAAAUAGUAUGAAAGCUGUACCGCAUUCAAACAGGAAGGAUUGUCUCAGGAGUGAUUUGUUCGAUGAUUCAAGGUAAUUAUUAUAUUUUUCGUUUUUUCACACUUCUCACUUUUUGUUGUAAGGCUGCUGCCACAUUGUCUAACAGACUAGCAUCAUUCUUCGACAUAUUUAUUUAAAAUAAAUGCUAAAUGCACUUUUUUUUUUUUGCUUUUAACCAAGAAUCGAGACUAUUUUACAUCCAUAUCUAUAAAGAAAUUAGGGAUUUCAACAUUUAUUCACAAGAAUUUUCACUGGAAAAGCUGUUUACAUAUAGCGGCCGCCACAUUGACUGACAGACUAGCAUCGUACUUCGUCAUAUUUACGUAAAAUAAAUGCUAACUGCACUUUUUUUUUUUUUUUUUUUGCUUCUAACCAAAAAUCGAGACUGUUUCACGUUCAUAUCGAUAAAGAAUUCAGGUAUUUAAGUAUUUAUUCACAAGAAUUUCCACCGGAAAAGCUCUGUUUACAUAUAGAGGCCGCCACAUUGACUGACAGACUAGCAACGUACUUCGACAUAUUUACGCAAAAUAAAUGCUAACUGCACUUUUUUUUUUUUUUUUUUUUGCUUCUAACCAAAAAUCGAGACUGUUUUAUGUCCAUAUCGAUAAAGAAUUCAAGUAUUUAAGUAUUUAUUCACAAGAAUUUCUAUCGUAAAACCUCUGUUUACAUAUGGCGGCCGCUACAUUAACUAACAGACUAGCAUCGUACUUCGACAUAUUUACAUAAAUUAA